This 484-nucleotide ribosomal RNA is filed under the name uncultured bacterium. RNAcentral's name for it is "partial 16S ribosomal RNA". It matches the Rfam family "Bacterial small subunit ribosomal RNA", at positions 30 to 507 of the family's 1533-position model. The record is from RNAcentral.
AUUGAACGCUGGCGGCAGGCCUAACACAUGCAAGUCGAGCGGAUGAAGGGAGCUUGCUCCUGGAUUCAGCGGCGGACGGGCGAGUAAUGCCUAGGAAUCUGCCUGGUAGUUGGGGAUAACGUCCGUAAACGGGCGCUAAUACCGUAUACGUCCUGAGGGAGAAAGUCGGGGAUCUUCGGACCUCACGCUAUUUGAUGAGCCUAGGUCGGAUUAGCUAGUUGGUGAGGUAAAGGCCUACCAAGGCGACGAUCCGUAACUGGUCUGAGAGGAUGAUCAGUCACACUGGAACUGAGACACGGUCCAGACUCCUACGGGAGGCAGCAGUGGGGAAUAUUGGACAAUGGGCGAAAGCCUGAUCCAGCCAUGCCGCGUGUGUGAAGAAGGUCUUCGGAUUGUAAAGCACUUUAAGUUGGGAGGAAGGACAGUAAGUUAAUACCUUGCUGUUUUGACGUUACCAACAGAGUAAGCACCGGCUAACUUCGUG